AAGCGGCAAAAGCUCAAAUUUGAAAUCUGGUACCUUUGGUGCCCGAGUUGUAAUUUGGAGAGUACCACUUUGGGACUGUACUUUGCCUAUGUUCCUUGGAACAGGACGUCAUGGAGGGUGAGAAUCCCGUGUGGCGAGGGUGUCAGUUCUUUGUAAAGGGUGCUCGAAGAGUCGAGUUGUUUGGGAAUGCAGCUCUAAGUGGGUGGUAAAUUCCAUCUAAAGCUAAAUACAGGCGAGAGACCGAUAGCGAACAAGUACAGUGAUGGAAAGAUGAAAAGAACUUUGAAAAGAGAGUGAAAAAGUACGUGAAAUUGUUGAAAGGGAAGGGCAUUUGAUCAGACAUGGUGUUUUGCGCCCCUUGCCUCUCGUGGGCUUGGGACUCUCGCAGCUCACUGGGCCAGCAUCGGUUUUGGCGGCCGGAAAAAACCUAGGGAAUGUGGCUCUGCGCCUCGGUGUAGAGUGUUAUAGCCCUGGGGAAUACGGCCAGCCGGGACCGAGGACUGCGAUACUUGUUAUCUAGGAUGCUGGCAUAAUGGUUAUAUGCCGCCCGUC
This 552-nucleotide ribosomal RNA is filed under the name Nakaseomyces glabratus. RNAcentral's name for it is "[Candida] glabrata partial large subunit ribosomal RNA". It matches the Rfam family "Eukaryotic large subunit ribosomal RNA", at positions 96 to 653 of the family's 3401-position model. Lineage: Eukaryota; Fungi; Ascomycota; Saccharomycetes; Saccharomycetales; Saccharomycetaceae. The record is from RNAcentral.